Molecule: ribosomal RNA, 461 nt
Filed under: uncultured bacterium
Lineage: Bacteria
Description: partial 16S ribosomal RNA
Rfam family: Bacterial small subunit ribosomal RNA
Source: RNAcentral
CCUACGGGUGGCAGCAGUGAGGAAUAUUGGUCAAUGGGCGCAAGCCUGAACCAGCCAAGUCGCGUGAGGGAAGACGGCCCUACGGGUUGUAAACCUCUUUUGCCGGGGAGCAAGCCUGAGCACGUGUGCCCAGGCGGAGAGUACCCGGAGAAAAAGCAUCGGCUAACUCCGUGCCAGCCGCCGCGGUAAUACGGAGGAUGCGAGCGUUAUCCGGAUUUAUGGGGGGUAAAGGGAGCGUAGACGGUUAUGUAAGUCUGGAGUGAAAGCCCGGGGCCCAACCCCGGGACUGCUUUGGAAACUGUGUAACUGGAGUACAGGAGGGGCAGGCGGAAUUCCUGGUGUAGCGGUGAAAUGCGUAGAUAUCAGGAGGAACACCGGCGGCGAAGGCGGCCUGCUGGACUGAAACUGACGUUGAGGCUCGAAAGCGUGGGGAGCAAACAGGAUUAGAUACCCUGGUAGUC